AAAUAGUCCGUUAGAAACAGGUUUUUUAAUGGAGUCGUCAAGCAAAGUCGGCUUCGAUUUUGAGAAACUUCAAUGGAGACUGCUGUGGUCUUGACGGACUUGCUCGUCUCUUUCCUCUUUUUGAGAGAGAGAGAGAGAGAGAGAGAGAAGAGGAGUUGACGUUGGGGAUUUGCUUGCUUGCGGUUUCUGCAAAUGGAAAGAGGUAGGGGUUUACGGCAAUCUUUUAUUGGAAGAGUAGGGCAAAC
Rhododendron vialii is the source of this 245-nucleotide long non-coding RNA. RefSeq lists it as uncharacterized. The transcript has 2 exons. NCBI's taxonomy places the organism in Eukaryota, Viridiplantae, Streptophyta, Magnoliopsida, Ericales, Ericaceae. The record is from RefSeq and is a predicted model, not a curated record.